This 77-nucleotide transfer RNA is filed under the name Breoghania sp. L-A4. RNAcentral's name for it is "tRNA-Arg". It matches the Rfam family "tRNA". From Rfam's summary of the family: Transfer RNA (tRNA) molecules are approximately 80 nucleotides in length. Their secondary structure includes four short double-helical elements and three loops (D, anti-codon, and T loops). The record is from RNAcentral. Lineage: Bacteria; Pseudomonadati; Pseudomonadota; Alphaproteobacteria; Hyphomicrobiales; Stappiaceae. RNAcentral also lists the same sequence under 1 other name.
GGCCCCGUAGCUCAGCUGGAUAGAGCACCGGACUUCUAAUCCGACGGUCGCAGGUUCGAAUCCUGCCGGGGUCACCA